Molecule: long non-coding RNA, 361 nt
Organism: Chionomys nivalis (European snow vole)
Lineage: Eukaryota; Metazoa; Chordata; Mammalia; Rodentia; Cricetidae
Exons: 3
Source: RefSeq, a predicted model, not a curated record
UGUGGAUCUGUGCAAGUUUUUGAGAUAAGGUCUCACUCUGUAGUUCUGGCUGGUCCAGAACUUGCAACGUAGACCAGGCUAGUCUUGAACUCACAGACAUUCACCUGCCUCUGUUUCCCAAGGACUGGGAUUAAAGGCUGUUUCUUGAGGACACAGCUGUAUCUAUUAUACCACAACUGAAUGCGUAUCUAGGGCUUCACACAAUGUCUGAGAGGGAUCGGGACUAGAGACUUCUUCAAAUGACCUGUGAUGAUGAGUACAGUGUUAGAAAGGCUGUGGGACUUUAAACAUUUAUCAUUAUUAUCGUGUGUGUAUGUGCAAUGUGUGUGUAUGUACAGGUGUGCCACAGUGCGUGAGUAGA